This 420-nucleotide ribosomal RNA is filed under the name uncultured bacterium. RNAcentral describes it as "bacterial SSU rRNA". It matches the Rfam family "Bacterial small subunit ribosomal RNA", at positions 30 to 450 of the family's 1533-position model. The record is from RNAcentral.
AUUGAACGCUGGCGGCAUGCCUUACACAUGCAAGUCGAACGGCAGCACGGGAGCAAUCCUGGUGGCGAGUGGCGAACGGGUGAGUAAUAUAUCGGAACGUGCCCAGUCGUGGGGGAUAACGUAGCGAAAGCUACGCUAAUACCGCAUACGAUCUAUGGAUGAAAGCGGGGGAUCGCAAGACCUCGCGCGAUUGGAGCGGCCGAUAUCAGAUUAGGUAGUUGGUGAGGUAAAGGCUCACCAAGCCGACGAUCUGUAGCUGGUCUGAGAGGACGACCAGCCACACUGGGACUGAGACACGGCCCAGACUCCUACGGGAGGCAGCAGUGGGGGAAUUUUUGGACAAUGGGCGCAAGCCUGAUCCAGCAAUGCCGCGUGCAGGAUGAAGGCCUUCGGUGUAACUAGCUUUUGUUACGGUAACGG